CGUAAGAAAUAAAUAAGAGUUCAUAUAAUCGCGGAGAUAUGGUCCGCAAGUUUCUACCAGACUGCCGUAAAUGGUCUGACUAUGAGCGAAAGUGUACCUAGG
This 102-nucleotide non-coding RNA is filed under the name Desulfosporosinus acidiphilus. RNAcentral's name for it is "Guanine sequence". It matches the Rfam family "Purine riboswitch aptamer". Rfam says of the family: Riboswitches are metabolite binding domains within certain messenger RNAs that serve as precision sensors for their corresponding targets. Allosteric rearrangement of mRNA structure is mediated by ligand binding, and this results in modulation of gene expression. Lineage: Bacteria; Bacillati; Bacillota; Clostridia; Eubacteriales; Desulfitobacteriaceae. The record is from RNAcentral.